UACGUAUGGAGCAAGCGUUAUCCGGAUUUACUGGGUGUAAAGGGAGCGCAGGCGGCUUUGCAAGCCUGAUGUGAAAGGCCGGGGCUCAACCCCGGGACUGCAUUGGAAACUGUAAAGCUAGAGUGCCGGAGAGGUAAGCGGAAUUCCUAGUGUAGCGGUGAAAUGCGUAGAUAUUAGGAGGAACACCAGUGGCGAAGGCGGCUUACUGGACGGCAACUGACGCUGAGGCUCGAAAGCGUGGGGAGCAAACAGG
RNAcentral lists this ribosomal RNA (253 nucleotides) under uncultured bacterium. RNAcentral's name for it is "partial 16S ribosomal RNA". It matches the Rfam family "Bacterial small subunit ribosomal RNA", at positions 524 to 776 of the family's 1533-position model. The record is from RNAcentral.